Molecule: ribosomal RNA, 464 nt
Filed under: Vreelandella stevensii
Lineage: Bacteria; Pseudomonadati; Pseudomonadota; Gammaproteobacteria; Oceanospirillales; Halomonadaceae
Description: partial 16S ribosomal RNA
Rfam family: Bacterial small subunit ribosomal RNA
Source: RNAcentral
CCUACGGGAGGCUGCAGUGGGGAAUAUUGGACAAUGGGCGAAAGCCUGAUCCAGCCAUGCCGCGUGUGUGAAGAAGGCCUUCGGGUUGUAAAGCACUUUCAGUGGGGAAGAAAGCCUUGGGGCUAAUACCCUCGAGGAAGGACAUCACCCACAGAAGAAGCACCGGCUAACUCCGUGCCAGCAGCCGCGGUAUACGGAGGGUGCGAGCGUUAAUCGGAAUUACUGGGCGUAAAGCGCGCGUAGGCGGUCUGAUAAGCCGGUUGUGAAAGCCCCGGGCUCAACCUGGGAACGGCAUCCGGAACUGUCAGGCUAGAGUGCAGGAGAGGAAGGUAGAAUUCCCGGUGUAGCGGUGAAAUGCGUAGAGAUCGGGAGGAAUACCAGUGGCGAAGGCGGCCUUCUGGACUGACACUGACGCUGAGGUGCGAAAGCUUGGGUAGCAAACAGGAUUAGAUACCCUUGUAGUC